GAUGAACGCUGGCGGCGUGCCUAAUACAUGCAAGUCGAGCGAACGGACGAGAAGCUUGCUUCUCUGAUGUUAGCGGCGGACGGGUGAGUAAUACGUGGAUAACCUACCUAUAAGACUGGGAUAACUUCGGGAAACCGGAGCUAAUACCGGAUAAUAUUUUGAACCUCAUGGUUCAAAAGUGAAAGCCGGUCUUGCUGUCACUUAUAGAUGGAUCCUCGCUGCAUUAGCUAGUUGGUAAGGUAACGGCUUACCAAGGCAACGAUGCAUAGCCGACCUGAGAGGGUGAUCGGCCACACUGGAACUGAGACACGGUCCAGACUCCUACGGGAGGCAGCAGUAGGGAAUCUUCCGCAAUGGGCGAAAGCCUGACGGAGCAACGCCGCGUGAGUGAUGAAGGUCUUCGGAUCGUAAAACUCUGUUAUUAGGGAAGAACAUAUGUGUAAGUAACUGUGCACAUCUUGACGGUACCUAAUCAGAAAGCCACGGCUAACUACGUG
Molecule: ribosomal RNA, 497 nt
Filed under: uncultured bacterium
Lineage: Bacteria
Description: partial 16S ribosomal RNA
Rfam family: Bacterial small subunit ribosomal RNA
Source: RNAcentral